UACGUAGGGACCGAGCGUUGUCCGGAAUCAUUGGGCGUAAAGAGCGUGUAGGCGGCCAGACAGGUCUGCUGUGAAAACUCGAGGCUCAACCUCGAGACGCCGGUGGAAACCGUCUGGCUAGAGUCCGGAAGAGGAGAGUGGAAUUCCUGGUGUAGCGGUGAAAUGCGCAGAUAUCAGGAAGAACACCCGUGGCUAAGGCGGCUCUCUAGUACGGUACUGACGCUGAGACGCGAAAGCGUGGGGGAGCGAACAGG
This 254-nucleotide ribosomal RNA is filed under the name uncultured bacterium. RNAcentral's name for it is "partial 16S ribosomal RNA". It matches the Rfam family "Bacterial small subunit ribosomal RNA", at positions 524 to 776 of the family's 1533-position model. The record is from RNAcentral.